CUGGGUGUAAAGGGUGCGUAGGCGGCUCUGCAAGUCAGGUGUGAAAACCAUCGGCUUAACUGAUGGACUGCAUUUGAAACUGUGGAGCUUGAGUGAAGCAGAGGCAGGCGGAAUUCCCGGUGUAGCGGUGAAAUGCGUAGAGAUCGGGAGGAACACCAGUGGCGAAGGCGGCCUGCUGGGCUUUAACUGACGCUGAGGCACGAAAGCAUGGGUAGCAAACAGGAUUAGAUACCCUGGUAGUCCAUGCCGUAAACGAUGAUUACUAGGUGUGGGUGGUCUGACCCCAUCCGUGCCGGAGUUAACACAAUAAGUAAUCCACCUGGGAAGUACGACCGCAAGGUUGAAACUCAAAGGAAUUGACGGGGGCCCGCACAAGCAGUGGAGUAUGUGGUUUAAUUCGAAGCAACGCGAAGAACCUUACCAGGUCUUGACAUCUACCUAAUCCGGCAGAGAUGCAGGAGUGCCUUUCGGGGAAAGGUAAGACAGGUGGUGCAUGGUUGUCGUCAGCUCGUGUCGUGAGAUGUUGGGUUAAGUCCCGCAACGAGCGCAACCCUUGUGAUUAGUUGCUACGCAAAAGCACUCUAAUCAGACUGCCGUUGACAAAACGGAGGAAGGUGGGGACGACGUC
Molecule: ribosomal RNA, 628 nt
Filed under: uncultured bacterium
Lineage: Bacteria
Description: bacterial SSU rRNA
Rfam family: Bacterial small subunit ribosomal RNA
Source: RNAcentral